GGGAGUGUAGCUCAGUGAUAGAGCACUUGCCUAACAUGCAAAAGGUCCUAGGUUCUAUUCCUGGCACUGCAC
RNAcentral lists this transfer RNA (72 nucleotides) under Fukomys damarensis (Damara mole-rat). It matches the Rfam family "tRNA". From Rfam's summary of the family: Transfer RNA (tRNA) molecules are approximately 80 nucleotides in length. Their secondary structure includes four short double-helical elements and three loops (D, anti-codon, and T loops). The record is from Rfam by way of RNAcentral. Lineage: Eukaryota; Metazoa; Chordata; Mammalia; Rodentia; Bathyergidae.